Molecule: long non-coding RNA, 3333 nt
Organism: Ahaetulla prasina
Lineage: Eukaryota; Metazoa; Chordata; Lepidosauria; Squamata; Colubridae
Exons: 2
Source: RefSeq, a predicted model, not a curated record
GGCCCCGAGGGUGGAGAGUCGGGUGCCUCUCAGAGCCAGCUUUUGUCGAGCGCGAAGUCGAAGGCGGAUGGAAUGCUCCGAGCGGCGGCCUGCAAGGCCUCGCGCUCGCGUGAUUCCCUCGGCCCGGAGAGGCGCGCGCUCGCCCGGCCGCCCGCGCUUAGGAAAGCGCGCUGCUUCGGGGCCUACUUCCACAACUGAAUCGGGCCUUGGCGGAAAGGCUCCCGAGAGCCUCUUGGGGGUACGGAGGGCUACAAUUUAGCGGAAUUGCGGGAAGAGGGCGGCCGGAGCGGAUGGAUUAAUCUCCCAGAAGAGGUAGUCCUCAACGUAUUACCACAAUGGACCCCAAAUUUUCUGUUGCUAAGUGAGACAUCUGUUUAGUGAGUUUUGCCUUAAUUUACGACUUUUCUUGCCACAGCUGCAGUUGAUAAGUUAGUAACCCGGUUGUUAAGUGAAUCUCGCUUUCCCAUUGACUUUCCUUGUCAGAAGGUCGCAAAAAGAGGAUCAUAUGUCCUUGGGACAUUGCAACCGUCAUAAAUCUGAACCAGUUGCCAAAGCGUCUAUUUUUUUAAUAUUUUUUUUUAAGGAUUUCUGGCAGGAGGGGAAGGAAUUGGGAUCCAAACCGCAAGCACGCCAAAUGUGAUUGCAACUCUAAACUGCAUUUUAAAAUGUCAUAAAUAUUUCUUGGUGUCGCCAACUCACCGUCAGACCCUAAGGAAGCUAUUAACCAUCUUAAUUGAAUUAGAUUUGUGUAGAAUAACCAUGUAGCCUUGAUUCCGUGUUUAUUGAGGGAUUCUGGAAACCAGUCCACCCAUCUUAAAAGUGGCUUAAGUUUGGAAAACAUUGAUUUAGACCAGGGAUGCCUCACCUUGACAGCCUUAAAGGUGGGGACUUCAACUCCCAGAAUUCCCCAGCCAAGUGCUGGCUCGGGAAUUCUGGGAGUUGAAGUCCACAAGUCUUAAAAUUGCUAAGGUUGGACAACCCUGAUUUAGACAAUAAUAGAAUAUUUCCUUGAUACAUCAUGUUCCAAUGGCUCUCGAAGGCAGUUAAUAGUUGAACUAGACCAGACCAUAAGCAAGAGGGGAAAAUCUUACUAUAGCAGUAUUUUUGUUGCAAUUAAAAAGCUUUCCAGUCUCAAAAAGACUAAUCUGCUACUUAGUGAAAAAAGCAAAAUAAAGAAUAUUUAAGUUUUUUAUUAACAUUAAAAACAUUGGACACAGUGUGACCAUCCUAGUUUUGUCAUUUCCAUACAUAUUUUUACAUAACAAAUUACUACUUACCAUACAUUGCCACUUUGAUCUUAUAAACAUACCCCUUGUCCUCAUUUGCAUAUUUGUCUAAAUAUUGUCCAGUGUCAGUUCUACAAACCCUAAAUCUUUUUCGUUCCAACUCCUUAUCCUCCUUUCCAACCCUUGGUAAUUUGUUCCAGAUUUUAUAGUAUUCUCUGUCUCCUUUAUUUUUGAGUUGUAAUGUCAGCCUAUCCAUUUCUACGCAGGUCAAGGUUUUCUUUAUUAUUUCUUCUUCUGGGGGGAAUUUCUUCCUUUUUCCAGUAUUGCGCAUAAACUGAUCUUGCUGCUGUUAUAACCUGCAGCAUUAAAUAUAUCAAUCCUUUGCUACGUUUCUCUUUUGUAAUUCCUAGUAGGAAUAGUUCUGGUUUCAAAUCUAUGUUUUGGUCUAGUAUCUCUUCCAACCAUAUCUUUAUCUAACCAAAAUUCCCGGGCCUUUGUACAUAACCACCACAUGUGAUAGAAAGAUCUUAAUGCUGAAUUGCAGUGCCAACAUUGCGGUGAUAAAUUCCUGUUCAUUUUUGCUAACCUCGUGGGUGGAAGGUGCCACUUGUAGAACAUUUUAUAUAAAUUUUCUUUGUACGCGGUGGCUAGUGUUAGUUUCCUGUUUCUCUCCUGUAAGGUAAAAGUAAAGGUUCCCCUCUCACAUGCAUGCUAAUCGUUCCCCAUUCUAGGGGGCGGUGCUCAUCUCCAUUCCAAAGCCGAAGAGCCAGCGCUGUCCGAAGAUGUCUCCGUGGUCAUGUGGCCGGCAUGACUCAACGCCAAAGGCCCACGGAACGCUGUUCCCACCAAAGGUGGCCCCUAUUUUUCUACUUGCAUUUUUUACCUGCUUUCGAACUGCUAGGUUGGCAGAAGUUGAGACAAGCAACGGGAGCUCACCCCGUUACGCGGCACUAGGGACUCGAACCGUUGAACUGCCGACCUUUCAAUCGAUAAGCUCAGCGUUUUAGCCCGAAUUUUGAUCACACAGCUGCAACGGAGAUGCCACAAUGGUCGCAAAUGCGAGGACCUGACACAAAUCACUUUUUUUUCGGUGCCGUGAUAACUGGUCACUGAAUGAAUGGUUGUAAGUCGAGGACUUGCCUAUGCCUGGAGAGCGCCUUCUCUCUUUCCUUACCUUUUUUAUCAUUUUGAGCAUAUUCCUUUGUGGCUGCAAACCCAGCUUGGCUGCAAAGCUCUGCAUCGGCGGAAAAACUGAACCUUGCGCUAUAAAUUACGGCCAGAUUCCUAUAGGAAGGCUGGAAAUGGGGAGAGCCGAGUUCGAGUUCUGCCUUAGACACACAAACCCAGCUGAAGGACGUUGGGCCAGUCACUUUGCCAAGGAAAUAUAACAGUACAACAUUAGACUUGGAAAGGAUCUUGGAGGUUAGCCAUCACUGCUAUAUCUAUUAUAUUACUGUGGUACAGUCACCCACUGAAUCUUGAUUUAAUUUGUAAAUAUGUACAACUACAAGCCUCAUCCAUAAAGGGAUAUUUUUGUGGCUUUGUUGGCAAAGUCAACAAAUGUGAGCAAAUCGGCGAUGCAAACUGACGGUACAUUGUAUGAACAUGACAUUAAACAUAUUCCUUGAUGCAAAUUCUAGACUGGGAUCGUACUUCGUACUAAAGCACGAUAGGAUUUGUGGUAGGUUGUGUUUCUUCAGACAGCUUUGAUGACGCUGUUAACACAACCCGGGGUCUUCUAUGCGCCCAGCAUGUUGUGCAAAUUAAGCAUUUUGGUCAUUGCCAAGUCAGAAUAUCAACCAAGUACAUUAGAAUCAUAAUUUACUCUCUGAAAAACAAAGAGAUGGAUGGCUGGAUGACUUCAGUGAAUCAUCAGUGACUCUAAGAUGAACGGGAAGGCUGCAUUUGAUUUUGGGGUUCAAAUCCUCUAUUAAUGUUGCCCAAAUAUAGGGAGAUGGAUAGUUCAGAAAUGUAAAAACAUAAUUACAUAAAACUAUGGUUGAGGUGAAAAUUGUAAAUAUCAAAAUGUUGUUUGUAUCAUUGAAACUUCUGUUACUGUGUUUUUUUCUUGUAAGACAAAAGAUGUUAAUGUAUGUUAAUUUAGUUU